Small nucleolar RNA from Rhinolophus ferrumequinum (greater horseshoe bat), 67 nucleotides. NCBI's taxonomy places the organism in Eukaryota, Metazoa, Chordata, Mammalia, Chiroptera, Rhinolophidae. The record is from Ensembl.
AGCUCAAAGGCGAGCAUAAUUUCCUGAGGAUUCUGGAAGAUUAUUUCCAGAUAUCCGUCAGAGGUCC